GAUUAAGUUAUUAAGGGCGCACGGUGGAUGCCUUGGCACUAGAAGCCGAUGAAGGACGUUACUAACGACGAUAUGCUUUGGGGAGCUGUAAGUAAGCUUUGAUCCAGAGAUUUCCGAAUGGGGAAACCCAGCAUGAGUUAUGUCAUGUUAUCGAUAUGUGAAUACAUAGCAUAUCUGAAGGUAGACGCGGAGAACUGAAACAUCUUAGUACCCGCAGGAAGAGAAAGAAAAAUCGAUUCCCUGAGUAGCGGCGAGCGAAACGGGAAGAGCCCAAACCAACGAGCUUGCUUGUUGGGGUUGUAGGACACUCUAUACGGAGUUACAAAAGAAUAAACUAGACGAAUCAUCUGGAAAGAUGAAUCAAAGAAGGUAAUAAUCCUGUAGUCGAAAGUUUAUUCACUCUUGAGUGGAUCCUGAGUACGACGGAACACGAGAAAUUCCGUCGGAAUCCGGGAGGACCAUCUCCCAAGGCUAAAUACUCUCUAGUGACCGAUAGUGAACCAGUACCGUGAGGGAAAGGUGAAAAGUACCCCGGAAGGGGAGUGAAAUAGAACUUGAAACCGUGUGCUUACAAGUAGUCAGAGCCCGUUAAUGGGUGAUGGCGUGCCUUUUGUAGAAUGAACCGGCGAGUUACGAUUUGAUGCAAGGUUAAGCAGUGAAUGUGGAGCCGUAGCGAAAGCGAGUCUGAAUAGGGCGUUGAGUAUUUGGUCGUAGACCCGAAACCAGGUGAUCUACCCAUGACCAGGUUGAAGUUCAGGUAACACUGAAUGGAGGACCGAACCGACUUACGUUGAAAAGUGAGCGGAUGAGUUGUGGGUAGCGGAGAAAUUCCAAUCGAACCUGGAGAUAGCUGGUUCUCUCCGAAAUAGCUUUAGGGCUAGCCUCAAGUGAUGAUUAUUGGAGGUAGAGCACUGUUUGGACGAGGGGCCCUUAUCGGGUUACCGAAUUCAGACAAACUCCGAAUGCCAAUCAAUUUAACUUGGGAGUUAGAACGCGGGUGAUAAGGUCCGUGUUCGAAAGGGAAACAGCCCAGACCACCAGCUAAGGUCCCAAAAUAUAUGUUAAGUGGAAAAGGAUGUGGCGUUGCCCAGACAACUAGGAUGUUGGCUUAGAAGCAGCCAUCAUUUAAAGAGUGCGUAAUAGCUCACUAGUCGAGUGACACUGCGCCGAAAAUGUACCGGGGCUAAACAUAUUACCGAAGCUGUGGAUUGUCCGUAAGGACAAUGGUAGGAGAGCGUUCUAAGGGCGUUGAAGCAUGAUCGCAAGGACAUGUGGAGCGCUUAGAAGUGAGAAUGCCGGUGUGAGUAGCGAAAGACGGGUGAGAAUCCCGUCCACCGAUUGACUAAGGUUUCCAGAGGAAGGCUCGUCCGCUCUGGGUUAGUCGGGUCCUAAGCUGAGGCCGAUAGGCGUAGGCGAUGGAUAACAGGUUGAUAUUCCUGUACCACCAUAAUUCGUUUUAAGCGAUGGGGGGACGCAGUAGGAUAGGCGAAGCGUACUAUUGGAUUGUACGUCCAAGCAGU
RNAcentral lists this ribosomal RNA (1520 nucleotides) under Staphylococcus xylosus. RNAcentral describes it as "partial 23S ribosomal RNA". It matches the Rfam family "Bacterial large subunit ribosomal RNA", at positions 1 to 1520 of the family's 2925-position model. The record is from RNAcentral. Lineage: Bacteria; Bacillati; Bacillota; Bacilli; Caryophanales; Staphylococcaceae.